This 492-nucleotide ribosomal RNA is filed under the name uncultured bacterium. Its description in RNAcentral is "partial 16S ribosomal RNA". It matches the Rfam family "Bacterial small subunit ribosomal RNA", at positions 29 to 507 of the family's 1533-position model. The record is from RNAcentral.
AGUGAACGCUGGCGGUAGGCCUAACACAUGCAAGUCGAACGGCAGCACAGUAAGAGCUUGCUCUUACGGGUGGCGAGUGGCGGACGGGUGAGGAAUACAUCGGAAUCUACUUUUUCGUGGGGGAUAACGUAGGGAAACUUACGCUAAUACCGCAUACGACCUACGGGUGAAAGCAGGGGAUCUUCGGACCUUGCGCGAUUGAAUGAGCCGAUGUCGGAUUAGCUAGUUGGCGGGGUAAAGGCCCACCAAGGCGACGAUCCGUAGCUGGUCUGAGAGGAUGAUCGGCCACACUGGAACUGAGCCACGGUCCAGACUCCUACGGGAGGCAGCAGUGGGGAAUAUUGGACAAUGGGCGCAAGCCUGAUCCAGCCAGACCGCGUGGGUGAAGAAGGCCUUCGGGUUGUAAAGCCCUUUUGUUGGGAAGGAAAAGCAGCAGGUUAAUACCCCGCUGUUCUGACGGUACCCAAAGAAUAAGCACCGGCUAACUUCGUG